Molecule: long non-coding RNA, 26630 nt
Filed under: Ananas comosus (pineapple)
Lineage: Eukaryota; Viridiplantae; Streptophyta; Magnoliopsida; Poales; Bromeliaceae
Description: long non-coding RNA (ACOM_LNC042375)
Source: RNAcentral
UAUUGAAUGAGAAAAAGUACUCGUUGCAAAGUUAUACUAUUAUGGCGCAACUGAGUAGUCUAAUGUAGUUCCGGUUUUGGUUUUUGUGAACGUUGACAUCGAUUCGUUCCAAAUUUACACUCUCGGGGUAUAAUAGAAAGUUUUUACUUCUUAUUCGAUAGAAUGAUAAAAAGUACUCGUUGUAAAGUUAUACUAUUAUGGCGCAACUGAGUAGUCUAAUGUUGUUCCGGUUUUGGUUCUUGUGAACGUUGACAUCGAUUCGUUUCAAAUUUAAACUCUCGGGGCGUAAUAGAACAAAAUAAUUAGGUUUUGCUCUUUUUUCGAAUGAAUGAGAAAAAAUGACAGUUGCAAAGUCAUACUGUUAGGGCUCAACAUAGUAGUCUAACGUUGUUCCGCUAUUGGUUCUUGUGAACGUUGACAUCGAUUCGAUCCAAAUUUACACUCUCGGGGUAUAAUAGAAAGCUUUUACUCCCUGUUCGAUAGAAUGAGAAAAUGUAUUCGUUGCAAAGUUAUACUGUUAUGGCGCAACGAGUAGUCUAAUGUUGUUCCGGUUUUGGUUCUUGUGAACGUUGACAUAGAUUUAUUCCAAAUUUAAACUCUCGGAGCGUAAUAGAACAAUAUAAUUAGGUUUUGCUCUUUGAUCGAUUGAAUAGGAAAAAAUAUUUGUUGCAAAGUUAUACUGUUAUGGCGCAACUGAGUAGUCUAAUUUAGUUCCGGUUUUGGUUCUUGUGAACUUUGACAUCGAUUCGUUCCAAAUUUACACUAUCGGGGCAUAGCAGAACAAUAUAAUAAGGUAUUACUCUUUGUUCGAUUAAAUGAGAAAAAGUACUAGUUGCGAUGUUAUACUGUUAGGGCUCUACUGAGUAGUCUAACGUUUUUCCGGUUUAGGUUCUUGUGAACGUUGUCAUCGAUUCGUUCCAAAUUUACACUCUCGGGGCAUAAAAGAACACUUUUACUCCUUAUUCGAUAGAAUAAGAAAAAGUACUCGUUGCAAAGUUAUACUGUUAUAGCGCAACAGGGUAGUCUAAUGUUGUUCCGGUUUUGGUUCAUGCGAACGUUGACAUCGAUUAGCAAAUUUACACUCCCAGCGUAUAAUAGAACAAUAUAAUUAGGUUUUACUCUUUGUUCGAUUAAAUGAGAAAAAGUACUAGUUGCAAUGUUAUACUGUUAGGGCUCUACUGAGUUGUCUAACGUUGUUCCGGUUUUGGUUCUUGUGAACGUUGACAUCAUUUCGUUCCAAAUUUACACUCUCGGGGCAUAAUAGAACAAUAUUAUUAGGUUUUACGCUUUAUUCGAUUGAACGAGAAAAAGUUCUCGUCGCAAAGUUAUAUUGUUAUGGCGCAACUGAAUAGUCUAAUGUAGUUCCGGUUAUGGUUCUUGUGAACGUUGACAUCGAUUCAUUCCAAAUUUACACUCUCGGGGUAUAAUAGAAAGCUUUUACUCCCUGUUCGAUAGAAUGAUAAAAAGUACUCGUUGUAAAAUUAUACUGUUAUGUCGCAACUGAGUAGUCUAAUAUUGUUCUGGUUUUGGUUCUUGUGAACGUUGACAUCGAUUCGUUCCAAAUUUAAACUCCCGGGGCGUAAUAGAACAAUAUAAUUAGGUUUUGCUCUUUGUUCGAAUGAAUGAGAAAAAAUAUUAGUUCCAAAGUUAUACUGUUAGGGCUCAACUGAGUAGUCCAACGUUGUUCCGGUUUUUUUUCUUGUGAAUGUUGACAUCGAUUCGUUCCAAAUUUAAACUCUCGGGGCGUAAUAGAAUAAUAUAAUUAGGUUUUGCGCUUUGUUCGAUUGACUCAGAAAAAAUACUAGUUGCAAUGUUAUACUGUUAGGGCUCAACUGAGAAGUCUAACGUUGUUCCGGUUUUGGUUCUUGUGAACGUUGACAUCGUUUUGUUGCAAAUUUACACUCUCGGGGCAUAAUAGAAAUCUUUUACUCUUUGUUCGAUUGAAUGAGAAAAAGUACUCGUUGCAAAGUUAUACUGUUAUGGCGCAACUGAGUAGUGUUUUGGUUUUUGUGAACUUUGACAAUAAUUCGUUCCAAAUUUACACUCUCGGGACAUAAUAGAACAAUAUAAUUAGGUUUUGCACUUUGUUCGAUUGAAUGAGAAAAAGCUCUAGUUGCAAAGUUAUACUGUUAAGGCUCAACUGAGUAGUCUAACGUUGCUCUAAUUUUUGUUCUUGUGAACGUUGACAUCGUUUCGUUCCAAAUUUACACUUUCGGGGCAUAAUAGAAAGCUUUUACUCCCAGUUCGAUAGAAUGAGAAAAAGUACUCGUUGCAAAGUUAUUCUGUUAUGGCGCAACAGAGUAGUCUAAUGUUGUUCCGGUUUUUGUUCUUGUUAACGUUGACAUCGAUUCGUUCCAAAUUUACACUCUCGGGGCAAAAUAGAACAAUAUAAUUAGAUUUUACUCUUUGUUCGAUUGAAUGAGAAAAAGUGCUAGCUUCAAUGUUAUACUGUUAGGGCUCAACUGAGUAGUCUCACGUUUUUCCGAUUUUGGUUCUUGUGAACGUUGACAUCGAUUCGUUCCAAAUUUACACUCUCGGGGCAUAAUAGAAAGCUUUUACUCCUUGUUCGAUAGAUUGAGAAAAAGUACUUAUUGCAAAGUUAUACUGUUAUGGCGCAACAGAAUAGUCUAAUGUUGUUCCGGUUUUGGUUCUUGUGAACGUUGACAUCGAUUCGUUCCAAAUAUACACUCUCGGGGCGUGAUAGAAAGCUUUUACUCCUUGUUUGAUAGAAUGAGAAAAAGUACUCGUUGCAAAGUUAUACAGUUAUGGCGCAACAGAGUAGUCUAAUGUUGUUCCGUCUUUGGUUCUUGUGACUUUGACAUCGAUUCGUUCCAAAUUUACACUCUCGGGGCAUAAUAGAACUGUCACGCCCCCGCCCCGAGACCGCUACCAAUUUGGCACGGUUCGGACGCGGCGGACGGACUACCGGACGGACAGCACCUCCCCUGCCCGCCCAAUGCUCCAACGACUAGAUUGUGUACAACAAGUUCCCAGGAAAACAACUUGAUUACAUACACAAUCGUGUAACAACAACGAGAGCACAAUCAGUGCUAUACUAUACGAGAGCCAGCAUCACAAGUAAUAAAACCAUACAAGUGAACAAAAGAGAGAUGUACUUAACUAUUAACUCAUUAAACUUCAUACAAUUAUUAUAACUUACAUUCUUUCAAACUUGUACAAUAUAUAUACAAUCCUCUCAAAACCUCACCCUAUACAUCCAUCUACUCUCAAAAUAGGUACAUGGUGUAACUAAUGCAUAAGGAAGUAAACCUCUGCUAAUGUCACUAGGGCGCUGCGCCCUUACCGCGAUCCUCACCAGGGGCUCUCGAACUCGGACCUGCAACAUGGUGGAGUGAGAACUACGAAUAGUUCCCAGUGGGUUCGGCCGCCGACUCCGCCGAUCUCCCCAGUAGGUCUAAGCAGGCAUAGAUAGAUAUGCAGAUAUAUAGGAAUAUGAAACUGAAAGCAGUAACAGUAAUGAGCAGCUAUGAACUAUGAUCUAUCAAUGCCUCAAUCCAAAUGUAAUGCAUGCAUGAAACUCAUAGUAAGAAGGCUGGCAGUCAUACUACCAUGUUCAACAACAAGGUCAUUCAUCUGAUUACCCAAUCUCUCGGCGAACGCAAGGCUCGCUCACAGUCUCACGUCUCUAAGUCUCAUAGGAGAGGUGGCUAGCUAUUCACCUACCCCGAGACCGCCUGCGGACACUACACUGGUCCAAGGGCACUACACUGGCCCCCUCGCGUGCCAAACUCCGGAGUGCACUACCUGUGAGGAGCUACCUCCACAGGUGCAGACAGGCUAAGUGAGCUCGAUCCAAUCUCAUGAACUGGGAACACCAUAACCAACUAGAAUUGGUGUCACUAUAACAUCAGGUGUUCAUCUGCUCAAUCUCAUAGUGUCUCAACCACACUAAAGUUCUCAAGUUCACUAUCAACUAGGUGCCACUCGUUCUGGUUUCAUUGUUAACUAGAUGCCACUCGUUCUCUUGACAAGUUCUUGAUAUACUAGUUUCCAAUAUACUAGGUUCAUAUUCACAUAAACAUGUUCAUCAUAUAUAGGGUCAACUAUCUCAUAGUGUUCAACUCAUGCAUACUAGGUUCUCAUUCAUUGCAUCCACAACCCGAACUAUCACUAGCAUGCAAGGAUAUGCACAAUCACAUUUAACACCCUAUAAUGCUAUAUCACAGUAUGUAAAUGAUCGACAAUGAUACUCAGACAUAAAGAGCAGCCCGACUGCUUCGGGAUGGCACUCCCCCACCUCAUGGCGAUGCCGUGAGUCUUCGAAUGCGAUUCGCCGACGUUUCGACGCCUCGUUGGCCUUCCAGGCAAGAACGGAGCUCCGAGGGUCGCCUUUGACAAUAACUCCGCACCUACUCGACGAAUCGACGAACCGUCUUCGCCGGCGUUCAGGGACCUAGCAAUUAGGUUUACAACCUCUCAAAUUAGAUCAAAACCCUAAAUUUGCCAAAAUCCCAAAUCGGAGCCCUAUGUCUCAACAAUGGAGAAAUCCGCGGUGCGAGCUUCUAUUUCGAGCUCGAACCUACUCCCUACCUUCAAUAGGUUCCAUUCGAACCAUUUCUAAACCAUAAAACCCUAUCGUAAGAAAUCCACCAUCGUAGGGCUAGAAGCUUACCUUCAAAAGCUUAGUCCAAGAAGAAGAAGUAGAUGAGGAAGGUGAUCUCCACCUUUGUCUUCUUCUUCUCCUACUUCUUCUCCUUCCUCUCCGCUUUUUCUUCUUCUUCUUCUUUUCCUUCCUAGAGAGAGAAAGGGAAAGAGUGUGAGAGAGGGAGAGAGCAACUGAGAGGGAGAGAGGGGUCCCCAAGCCUUUAUAUGGGCCAUUUUGCAGAUAGCCCCCUCAACUUUCCAUUUCCUGAAACAGCCCUCCCUGGGCUAUUCUCGCAGUGAGGGACCGGUCCUAGGUUGGGGAGACCGGCCCCCGAGAGCUGCACAAUCAGGCAGAAGGGAUUUCGCGUUCGGGAACCGGUCCCUCCCUGAGAGAUCGGUCCUCGGUAGACCGGUCCUUGUCCGAGAGACCGGUUCCCGAGAGCUGGGUUCUCGGGACUUAGCCAAAUUUCGGCCAAUCUCGCUGGGCUAACGUUCGGGAACCGGUCCCUGCCUGCCAGGGACCGGUCUCAUCAGAGACCCCCCCGCAGCCCAGCCCGAUGGGACCGGUCCCUCCCUGCCAGGGACCGGUCGCCGAGAGCAUUUCUGCUCUAGUGCUGCUUUUGCACUGGUGCACUCGCGGACCUUUCCAUGAUGCACAUUAUGCAUUCUAAGUAUCUUCGGACUUUCCGAAACUUACACACUCGACAAUUAGUCGAUUCCCAUCGAAGUCUAAUCCCCGGAUUUCGAGAAUUCACUUCCCUUACAAGAACAAUAUAAUUAGGUUUUGCUCUUUAUUCGAUUCAAUGAGAAAAAGUACUCGUUGCAAAGUUAUAAUGUUAUGGCGCAACUGAGUAGAGUAAUUUAGUUCCAAUUUUUUGUUCUUGUGAACUUUGACAUCGAUUCAUUCCAAAUUUACACUCUCGGGGCAUAAUAGAACAAUAUAAUUAGGUUUUGCUCUUUGUUCGAUUGAAUGAGAAAAAGCUCUAGUUGCAAAGUUAUACUGUUAUGGCUCAACUGAGUAGUAUAACGUUGUUCCGAUUUUGGUUCUUGUGAACGUUGACAUCGUUUCGUUCCAAAUUUACACUCUCGGAGCAUAAUAGAANNNNNNNNNNNNNNNNNNNNNNNNNNNNNNNNNNNNNNNNNNNNNNNNNNNNNNNNNNNNNNNNNNNNNNNNNNNNNNNNNNNNNNNNNNNNNNNNNNNNNNNNNNNNNNNNNNNNNNNNNNNNNNNNNNNNNNNNNNNNNNNNNNNNNNNNNNNNNNNNNNNNNNNNNNNNNNNNNNNNNNNNNNNNNNNNNNNNNNNNNNNNNNNNNNNNNNNNNNNNNNNNNNNNNNNNNNNNNNNNNNNNNNNNNNNNNNNNNNNNNNNNNNNNNNNNNNNNNNNNNNNNNNNNNNNNNNNNNNNNNNNNNNNNNNNNNNNNNNNNNNNNNNNNNNNNNNNNNNNNNNNNNNNNNNNNNNNNNNNNNNNNNNNNNNNNNNNNNNNNNNNNNNNNNNNNNNNNNNNNNNNNNNNNNNNNNNNNNNNNNNNNNNNNNNNNNNNNNNNNNNNNNNNNNNNNNNNNNNNNNNNNNNNNNNNNNNNNNNNNNNNNNNNNNNNNNNNNNNNNNNNNNNNNNNNNNNNNNNNNNNNNNNNNNNNNNNNNNNNNNNNNNNNNNNNNNNNNNNNNNNNNNNNNNNNNNNNNNNNNNNNNNNNNNNNNNNNNNNNNNNNNNNNNNNNNNNNNNNNNNNNNNNNNNNNNNNNNNNNNNNNNNNNNNNNNNNNNNNNNNNNNNNNNNNNNNNNNNNNNNNNNNNNNNNNNNNNNNNNNNNNNNNNNNNNNNNNNNNNNNNNNNNNNNNNNNNNNNNNNNNNNNNNNNNNNNNNNNAUGAGAAAAAGUACUCGUUGUAAAGUUAUACUGUUAUGGCAGAACAGAGUAGUCUAAUGUUUUUCCGGUUUUGGUUCUUGUGAACUCUGACAUCGAUUCGUUCCAAAUUUACACUCUCGGGGCAUAAUAGAACAAUAUAAUUAGGUUUUACUCCUUAUUCGAUUCAAUGAGAAAAAGUGCUCGUUGCAAAGUUGUACUGUUAUGGCGCAACUGAGUAGUCUAAUUUAGUUCCGGUUUUGGUUCUUCUGAACUUUGACAUCGAUUCGUUCCAAAUUUACACUCUCGAGGCAUAAUAGAACAAUAUAAUUAGGUUUUGCUCUUUGUUCGAUUGAAUGAGAAAAACCUCUAGUUGCAAAGUUAUACUGUUAAGGCUCAACUGAGUAGUCUAACGUUGCUCCGAUUUUGGUUCUUGUGAACGUUGACAUCAUUUCGUUCCAAAUUUACACUCUCGGGCAUAAUAGAAAGUUUUUACUCCUUGUUCGAAAGAAUGAGAAAAAGUACUCGUUGCAAAGUAUUUCUGUUAUGGCGCAACAGAGUAGUCUAAUGUUGUUCCGGUUUUAGUUCUUGUUAACGUUGACAUCGAUUCGUUCCAAAUUUACACUCUCGAGGCAAAAUAGAACAAUAUAAUUAGGUUUUACCCUUUGUUCGAUUGAAUGAUGAAAAGUACUAGUUGCAAUGUUAUAGUGUUAGGGCUCAACUGAGUAGUCUAACGUUGUUACGGUUUUGGUUCUUGUGAACGUUGACAUCGAUUCGUUCCAAAUUUACACUCUUGGGGCAAAAUAGAAAGCUUUUACUCCUUAUUCGAUAGAUUCAGAAAAAGUACUCGUUGCAAAGUUAUACUGUUUUGGCGCAACCGAAUAGUCUAAUAUUGUUCCUGUUUUCGUUCGUGUGAAAGUUGACAUCAAUUCGUUCCAAAUUUACCCUCUCAGGGCAAAAUAGAAAGCUUUUACUCCUUAUUCGAUAGAUUGAGGAAAAGUCCUCGUUGCAAAGUUAUACUGUUACGGCGCAACAGAAUAGUCUAAUAUUUUUCCGAUUUUGGUUUUUGUGAACGUUAACCUCGAUUCGUUCAAAAUUUACAGUCCUGGGGCAUAAUAGAAAAAUAUAAUUAGAAUUUACUCUUUAUUCGACUGAAUGAGAAAAAGUACUCGUUGCAAAGUUAUACUGUUAUGGCGCAACAGAGUAGUCUAAUGUUGUUCCGAUUUUGGUUCUUGUGAACGUUGACAUCGAUUCGUUCCAAAUUUAUACUCUCGGGGCAUAAUAGAACAAUAUUAUUAGAUUUUACGCUUUAUUCAAUUGAACGAGAAAAAGUACUCGUUCCAAAGUUAUACUGUUAUGGCGCAACUGAGUAGUCUAAUGUUGUUCCGAUUUUGGUUCUUGUGAACGUUGACAUCGAUUCGUUCCAAAUUAAAACUCUCGGGGUAUAAUAGAGCAAUAUAAUUAGGUUUUGCUUUUUGUUCGAUUGAGUAAGAAAAAAUACUAGUUACAAAGUUAUACUGUUAGGGCUCAACUGAGUAGUCUAACGUUGUUUCAGUUUUGGUUCUUGUGAACGUUGACAUCGAUUCAUUCCAAAUUUACACUCUCGGGGCAUGAUAGAAAGUUUUUACUCCAUGUUCGAAUGAAUUAGAAAAAGUACUAAUUACAACGUUAUACUGUUAUGGCGCAACAGAGUAGUCUAAUGUUGUUCCGGUUUUGGUUCUUGUGAACGUUGACAUCGAUUCGUUCCAAAUUUACACUCUCGGGGCAUAAUAGAAGCUUUUAUUCCAUUGAUGCCAUAGAAUGAGAAAAAUGUAACUCAAGUUAAAAGUAUUUGUUUAUUGGCGUUUUGAGUAGUUCUAAUUUAGUUACCGAGUUUUGUUUUGUGAACUUGACAUUGAUUGUUUCCAAUUUCACUACGGGGCAUAAGGAACAAUAUAUUAGGUUUUGCUCUUGUCCGAUUAAAGAGAAAAGUUUAGUUGACCAAAGUAUAUACUGUUAGGAGCUUCAACUGAGUAGAAUUUACGUUGUCGGUUGAGCGUAUAUGAUCAGGACUUAGAUCAGGAGCAAACACGAACCGUUGGCUUUCUCGUAGAAACGUUGACAUGUUUCGCUUCCAAAAUUUCACUCUCGGGGGCAUAAUAGAAAGAUGUUGUACUUUGUUCGAUAGUAAUAGCAAAAAGUCUCGUGCAAAGUUAUAUACUAUUAUGGCGCACAGAGUAAGACUAAUGUUGUUCCGGUUUGGUUCAUAAUGUAAUUUUAACUUCGCAUUGUUCCAAAUUUACACUCUCGCGGGCAUAUAAGAUAUAUGAUUAGGUUUACUCUUUAUUCGAUUCAAUGAGAAAAGUACUCGUUGCCAAGUUUAUCUGUUCUAUGCGAACUGAGUAGUUAAUUUAGCUUCGGUUUUGCGGUCUUUGUAACUUUGACAGUCGAUUCAGUUCCAAUUUACACAUCUCGGGGAAUAAUAGACAAUAUAAUUAGGUUUUUGCUCUUUUGUUCGACUUGAAUGAGAAAACUCUAGUUGCAAAUUAUUACUGUUGAGGGGUCAAAUGAGUAGUGUAACGUCGUUCCGGUUUUGGUUCUUGUGAACGUUGACAUCGUUUCGUUCCAAAUUUACACUCUCGGGGCAUAAUAGAAAGCUUUUACUCCUUGUUCGAUAGAGUGAGAAAAAGUACUCGUUGCUAAGUUAUUUUGUUAUGGCGCAACAGAGUAGUCUAAUGUUGUUCCGGUUUUAGUUCUUGUUAACGUUGACAUCGAUUCGUUCCAAAUUUUCACUCUCGGGGCAAAAUAGAACAAUAUAAUAAGGUUUUUCUCUUUGUUCGAUUGAAUGAGAAAAAGUACUAGUUGUAAUGUUAUAGUGUUAGGGCUCAACUAAGUAGUCUAACGUUGUUCCGGUUUUGGUUCUUGUGAACGUUGACAUCGAUUCGUUCCAAAUUUACACUCUCGGUGCAUAAUAGAAAGCUUUUAUUCCUUGUUCUAUAGAAUGAGAAAAAGUACUCGUUACAAAAUUAUACUAUUAUGGCGCAAUCUAAAAUCGAGUCGGUGGUCAAUCGCUCCUUCAGCUCUUGAAAGCUUCUUUCGCAAGCUUCAUUCCAUAGGAAUUUAGCUCCUUUAUGUGUAAGUCGAGUGAGAGACGUAGACAUCUUUGCAAAUCCUUCUACAAAACUUCAGUAGUAUCCGGCCAAACCAAGGAAACUCCGAAUCUCGGUGACAUUAGUCGGCCUAGGCCAAUCUUUAAUCGCUUCAAUCUUCUUUGGGUCCACUGCGAUUCCUAUUUCAGAAAUUACAUGUCCCAGAAAUGCCACUUCUCGAAGCCAAAAUUCACAUUUCUUUAACUUUGCAAACAAUUUCUUUUCUCGAAGUGCUUGUAAUACCACUCUUAGAUGAUUUUCAUGCUCCUCGUCACUUCGAGAAUAUAUCAAGAUAUUGUCGAUAAACACGACCACAAACCUAUCCAAAUAGGGCUUAAAAACACGAUUCAUUAAAUCCAUAAAGACUGCUGGGGCAUUUGUCAGUCCAAAUGGCAUAACUGUAAAUUCAUAAUGCCCAUAUCGUGUCCUAAAAGCGGUCUUGGAAACCUCUUCAGGCUUGAUCUUAAGCUAAUGAUAACCUGAUUGCAAAUCAAUCUUAGAAUACACUUUCGAUCCUUGCAGCUGAUCGAAUAAAUCAUCGAUUCUGGGUAAUGGAUAUUUAUUCUUGAUUGUAACUUUGUUGAUUUCUCGAUAAUCCACACACAAUCGAAGUGAUCCAUCCUUUUUCUUAACAAAUAAUACCGGUGCUCCCCAAGGUGACACACUCGGUCGAAUGAAACCCUUAUCCAAUAAAUCUUGUAAUUGUGCCUUCAGCUCUUUCAAUUCAGCGGGUGCUAUCCUAUAGGGUGCUUUUGAAAUUGGGGUAGUCCCAGGGACAAGAUCUAUCACAAACUCAACUUCCCUAUCAGGUGGCAUACCCGGCAACUCAGCUGGAAACACAUCCCCGAACUCCCGCACAACCGGAAUAUCAUCAAUCUUAACGGUUCCUCCGUCACUCACAGAAAUACUAGCCAAAUAGGCUACACAGCCCCUCCGAAUCAACUGUCAUGCUCGCGAAGAACUAAUAGUCAUUGCGAACGAUGAACUCUGACACCCCUUAUAAAUAAACUCCUGCUAACCCGGCUCCCUAAAGGUCACCGUUCUGUUCGUGCAAUCUAUGGUGGCAUAAUACUGGGUCAACCAAUCCAUACCCAAUACUACAUCAAACUCUCCAAGUUUGUGUAGUGCCAAAAGAUCCACUGGCAUAAUCCAAUCGCCUACCCGAAUUGGGCAGCGAGGGCAGAACUCACGAACAUCUAGGGUAUGUCGGGUACAAUCACUCGUCCCAGAUGCAAAGUAGGUACUACCUGAAUGCUAUGCAACUCGGCGAACUGCCGAUCAAUAAAAGAAUGCGAAGCACUAGUAUCAAAUAAUGCACGAACACGAAUAUCAUAAAGCAUAAUGAUACCUGCUACGACCUCCUCUGCUGCCGCGGCCUCCUCUGUCUGGGCGGCAUACAUACGCCCACUCGAACCCUGCCGAGGACUAUCAGACUGCCGCUGUCCCGGUGGUCGUCUGUACUGCGAGGGUGCUGUCGGGGUCCCUUGGCUCGGAGCUAAAGAUGCAGGUGCUGAUGCCGAUGAAGGUGCAGGUGAAGAACCUCUCGGGCACUCUGAGCGAAAGUGGCCCUCCUGACCACAAAGGAAGCACUUACCCCCACGUUGUGGACACUGUGGCGGUACGUGAGGCCUACUCAGAUAACACAACGCGGCGGUGGACGCCGCUCGGGUGCUCCACGACGUGCUGAAGAACCUCGACCUCUUGAUUGGCCCGGCUGGCCCCACGGAUACUUCGGCGGUCUCCUGAAGGGUUGCUGACCACUGCUCUCAGCUGCUGGCCGUUUUCCUUUACUUCGAUCCACAAUAUCUCUUUCCUUCAUAAUUUUCGCCCCCUUCUCCACAAUCAAAGCCCGGUUCACUACUUCCCUCUAAGUGGAAAGGUUUGACGCCUGGACCAAUCUGAAAAUCGCCGGCCGUAAACCUACCUCGAAAAUCCGAGCCUUAUCCUCAUCAUCUCGGACCACAAAAGGAACACAAUGCAGUAAUCGGGAGAACUCUCGUUCAUACUCAGCUACUGUCCUGUCCCCCUAUCUCAAGUUUCUUAAGUCCCUUUCCAUUUGCCUUUUUACACUCUGAGGAAAAUAGGUAGUCAACAGUAAUUCCUUGAACCUCGUCCAGGUAAUAGCGGACAAAUCAGUACGUGGUUCCUCACGAAUAUCCACCCACCACCUGUAAGCCUCGCCAUCGAGGUGGUGUGUCGCAAACCAAACCCGAUAUCGCUCCUCGACGAAAGUAUCAUAAAACAGUUUCUCCAUGUGCAUCAGCCAUUUCUCGACUACCCAAUGAUCAGCUUUUUCUCUGUCAAAAAUACGAGGGUUGCAACGACGGAAUUCGUUCAAUUGUUCCAUAAUCCGCUCUCGCUCCUCAGUCCCCACCAUCUCUGGUAACACUGUCCCUGAUGCCGCUACAGGUACUGGUGGUGGUACUACUGUCUCCUGUCGGGUCUCUGCCCUCGGAGCUACUGGGGGUGUGUCAGGUACUGGUGACUGUGCUCUCACUGUCGCAUCCCUGUCUGGUACUGUAGGUAUAGGAUCAGGAAUCUCUCUGUCGGUCGUCUACCGCAGUAGUAAAUCCUCUAACCUCUUCAUCCUGUCCUCCUGUCGACGCGCGGCAUCCAUCUACUGUCGCGCUGCCGCAGCCUGCUGAGCAACCAAAUUCGUCAGCUUUGUGAGCUGAUCCUACAACUCAUGGAUCCCACUGGAUCCAGAAGUAACGGAGGUCCCCACUUCCUCUGCAUCCGCCGCCUCAGCUGUCCCGGCGGCUUGCGAACGAGUCAAAGGCAUCUUCAGCUGCAGCACCGAAAACAAAUAUAGAUUAAUAAAACCUAUACUAUUGAACCUUUACUUCAGGUAUAAACCAACUAAUCAAGCGAAAGAAAUGAAAUGUAACGCGUACUAACUUCCGAUGUCACGUUGUCGGCCGCCAACGUGGCCCUCUGCAAAGUUAGUAAUUGCACAUUCCGAUCAAACUCCUACUAUUCGGAGUUUAUACCUUACCCAAUCAAAGUACUUUCGCUAACAACAACCUCAACUAGACCUCGUCUCUCACGAGCCUAUUCUUAUAGUCCAACCAGCCUAAGGUUUACUAGGUCUACUAAGACUCAACCCUAGGCUCUGAUACCACUAUAAUCUGUCACGCCCGGGUACCAGCGGAAGCAUAUCCGGUACGUGCACAGACCCGCCAUACACCUACAGUAUAUAAAGCGUCUACAAGAAAGCGAGUCGAUAGGAGAAAACAUAGAAAAUUCCUAUCCUGAUAUCAGAGCAUGUAUAAGUCAACAGGACUAUCAACAAAAGAACAAGAGUAUCCAACUCAAAAUAUAAGUACAAAAGAAAGUACUAAAACUAUAACAUCUGGAUCCAAAGACUCAUAUACAACACAGGGUACAUCACAUAAUAUUUAAAUGCAUAGUCUCCUAUAAACGACACACCAUUAGCCGACCCGAGUACAAGUAUCGGAUAGCACCUCCUAGCAAUGUCUAAGCAGACGCACUCCCUUACCACGAUCCCUAGCCCUGCCUGUAACGGCCUGUAAAAACAUGCAACAAUAAAAAGCGAAACUAUUAACAAUAUGUCCCAGUGGUAAGUCCGCCACACUCAGCGAAUUACACCACUAGCACUCAUAGUACUAAAUGAAAGAAGCGAUAAUUGCACUAUAUUACAGCAGUGUUAACAGGUAAUCGCAUCUAAUCAACAUCGUAAACAUGAUUCUACAUAAUGAACAACUAAAUAAUCGAAGCAUAGCAACUACUCAUAAAAAGAGCAAACAUGAUUGUAACUAAAUACUAAUAUCACAUAACUAACACAUCAUACGGUCCUUGCAUUAGUACUUUAUUUUCAUUCGUAAGGACCAUCCUCAAAUAGUCCAGCUUCGCCGUGCCUAAAUGAACCGUGUAAGUAAUACACCCCAGCAAUCCCACUUCCGUCACCCAACCCGCACGGCAGCAAUCACUCCGUAGCCAACUCCGAGCCGCUGAGGGAGCGACCUACACAACGUGUCGAAUUAGCACGAUGCUAACAACAAAGUCCCAUAGUCCAAACAAGCCAAACAUUAUGCAUAGUAUCCCUAUUUCUUACACUCUACGAUCUAUUAUCGGAAUUCUAAUAUAAAACAAUACAAUAGCUAGCAUCCCACUAGAUUAAAAGCACAUUGAAUAACUAUCAUAAUGGCAUUAGAACUUUCUAAAUCUCCAUGUACUAAUCAACAUCACAAGUAAUGCAUUGUUGCUAUUACUGAAGACAUAAUAAGUCCAUAUUACUCAAUUGAACUAACAAAACACACUGACAUAAAACAAAUAGGCAUGAGUCUCUACUUCAUGGAGUUCCAUUUCCCUUAUUCAAACGUAUAACACAGACUGUUUCAAAUCCUUAGCGACCAUAUAGUACAAAAACCAACACUAUAUAAAUUAAAGAAAUAUAGAACAUAGGGUAGCUUCACUUGCUUAGUAGGUCAAACCCCCUAUUACAGUCUCAAAUCAUUCCACUACGUCCCGAAAUUCAUACUCUACUAGCUUCAAACCUGCUGAAAAAAAGCAUCAGAACCGGCUCGAGACAUUACAUUAAGAUCUAUCCAAUUUCGGCAAAACAUGCUUAAUAAAAAGCUAGUAAUUGAAUCCUGGUUUGGGUUACAUUAUACCUCAAAUGUAUCCCUAAGAGUCAUCACAACUCACCGAACACAAUCCAACCCAAUCGUAGCCGCUGCAAAACGACAUCAAAUGGUUACAAAAUGCAGUAUAACGCAUUAAAAGCCGAAAUCUUGAAUCAUUCUAACUAAUUCCGCUACCCCAGUAAAAAUCCCUCCAAACCAACUCUAAGACACAGUUCAGCUCAAAGUAAAAAAAAAAGUUUUCCCCGCAAACCUGCUCGAAUACAUCCUUCCAACGCGUUAAGUUACUCAGUAGUGCAAAUAGCUUGAAAUACUCAUAAUAACUAAUUUAACCCUGUCACCUUAAAGCAACUUUCACUGAAACAUACCGAAAAACUCUCUACAUACGAACAGCCCCUACAUCAGUUGGAAAGCAAGGGAAAUCCAAUCAGCGAAAAAUUCAAUACGAAACCACAAUCAAAGAGAAUUAAGCUAAUUACCGCUCUUCAAACAAUUCAAUUUCCCGGGGAAAACCUCAAUAACGAAACUCAGUAAAGAUACUCCCACCCACACCCAAAACUCCCCUGGCGUUUCCAAACCAGCGAGCGACGACGCGCAAGAAAAUAAACUCAUUCGGCGAUCUCCAAUCGAAGGGAGAGAAACCCUAGAGAGAGAAAUGAAAAGUAAGCUGCUUCAACAGGGUCUAAGCAAACUUCACUGACACACGUGGUCGACUGGAGUCAUAAAUAAAAUCAAUACCCAAAGACCAAAAAGCCCUGCUGCCACACCAGCUGCUGCGCUAUAGCUGCUAAAUUCCGGUAACAGCAUAAUGCCUGUACCGGUACACAACAAAUUACAGAAAAAGUGCCACAAUCACUUCUCUUUACCAUCCAAUCCCCUAACUGUCCAAUAACCUUGCCCAAGCCUUUUAACAUAUAGAUAAGAUCAACAUAUCCUUCCUCACACUACGAACUUCCAAUUUGCAUAAGUUCAGUUGGUAUUACACUAAAUUUGUCCGGUUUUAGUUCUUGUAAACAUUGACAUCGAUCGUCCAAAUUACACUCCGGGCAAAAUAGAACAAUAAAAUAAGGUUUUACUCUUUGUCAUUGAAUGAGAAAAAGACAGUUUAAUGUUAAGUACGCUCAACUGAGUAUCUAACUUGUUCCGGUUUGGUCUUGGAACGUUGACAAUCGAUAUCGGUUCCAAAUUUACACCUCCACCCGGGCGUAAUAGAAAAGCUAUACUCUUUCGAAUAGAAUGAGAAAAAGACUUCGUUCAAAUUAACUUUUAUGGCGCAACAGAGUAAUCUAAUGUUUUCCAUUUAUUCUUGAACGAUGACAUAUCGAUUCAUUCCAAAUUUACACUCCGGGGUAAAUAGAAAAAAAGUAAUUAGACAUUUACUGCUUUAUUCCAUUAAAUAAAAAAAGUACUCGAUUCAAAUUAUACUGUAUGUCGUAAACAGAGUAUCUAAUGUUUUCCGAUUGUUGUUCUUGGAACGUUGACACGAUUCGUCCAAAUUUACACUUCCGGCAUAAAGAACAAUAUAAUCAGGUUUACUCUUGUCGAUUGAAUAAAAAAAUAUAUUCAGUUAUACUGUUAGGCUCACACUGAGAGUCCAACUAUUACCGUUUUCUUGUAACUUGACAAUUGAUUCGUUCCAAAUACACUCUCAGGGAAUAAUAAUAGCUUUACUUAGCUUGCUUGAUAGAUCAGAAAAAGUAACUCGUUAGUAAAGUUAUAACUUUAUGGCGGAAACAAAUAGUCUAAAAUAUUUCCGGUUUCGUUCCUGCUGAACUUUGACAUCGAUUCGUUCCCAAAAAUUUACAAACUCUCCCGGGCAAAUAGAACAAUAUAAAGUUUUACACCUAUCUCCGACUUCAAUAGAAAAAGGCUCGUUGCAACAGUUGUACUGUUAUGGGCGCAACAUACGUCCUAAUUAUUCCAGUUCUUGGUCUUCUGAACUUUGACAUCGAUAAUCGUUCUCCAAAAUUACAUUACACUUUCGGAAAUAACAAAAAAUAAAUUAUUUUGCUUCUUUGUCGAUCGAAUAGAAAAAUCUAGUUGCAAUUUAAAUUUAAGGCCAAUUUGAGUAGUCUAACGUUGCUGCUCCGAUUUUGGUUCUUAAUUAACCCUUGACAUCAGGUCGUUCCAUAUUUACACUCUCGGGCAAAUAGAAAGCUUUACUCUUCUUCGAUAGAAUGAAAAAAAAUACUCCGUACAAAGUUAAUGUAUAUGCGUCAAGCAAGUAUCAUAAUGUUUUCCGGUUAGUUCUUGUAUAACGUGACAUCGAUCGUUCCAAUUACACUCCGGCAAAAUAGAAACAAUUAUAAUAGGUUACUCUUGUUCGAUGAAUAAAAAAUAACUAGUUGCAAUUAUAAGGUUAGCUCAACUUAUCAACGUUUUCCGGUUUGGUUCUUGUGAACGUGACAAUCGGAUUCGUUCCAAAUUACACUCUCAUGAUUAAUAAAGCUUUACUCCUUGUUCGAAUAGAUGAGAAAAAGUAUCGUUUAAAAUUAACCUGUUGGCGACAGAGUAGUCCAAUUUUCCGUUUUGGCUUCUUGUGAACCUUGACACUCGAUUUCGUUCAAAUUUACACAUCUCGGCAAAUAAACAAUAUAAUUAGUUUUACUCCUAUUCUUCAAUGAGAAAAAGUACUCAGUUUCAAAGUUGUACGUAGCGCAACUAGUAUCUAAUUUUGUUUCGAUUAUGUUCUUCUGAACUUGACCAUCGAUUCGUUCCAAAAUUUACAACCCUCGGUGCCAUAAUAGAACAAAUAAUUAGGUAUUUGCUCUUUGAUUAUUAGAAUAGAAAAAGCUCUAGUUGCAAAGUUAUACUGUUAAGGCUCAACUGAGUAGUCUGACGUUGCUCCGAUUUUGGUUCUUGUGAACGUUGACAUCGUUUCGUUCCAAAUUUACACUCUCGGGGCAUAAUAGAAAGCUUUUACUCCUUAUUCGAUAGAAUGAGAAAAAGUACUCGUUACAAAGUUAUACUGUAAUGGUGCAACAGAGUAGUCUAAUGUGGGAGAACUCCUGUUAGUAGUCCGCCACCGAACGAACCCCUUGCCUCAAUUUGCGAAACCUCUCCUUUAGCCUUCGCUUUUCGGUGUCGGGGAAAUAAUUUUCAAACAUCUCCUUCUUAAACUCCUCCCAGAGCAUUGGUGGAAGGUCAGAGGGUCGAUCCCGCUUCAACCGCUUCCACCACACCUUCGUCGCCUUGUCGAGGCAAUGUGUGGCGAAAGGCACCUUAUCUUUCUCCGGGGUGUAUAGGUCCUCGAAGAUGGUCUCCAUAGAGUCUACCCAAGACUCCACCACCGACGGCUCCACUUUUCCCCGUUCAAAAGUUGGUGUCUUAAACUUCAUGAACUUCAUCAGAGCCGUCAGCGCACGUUCCCGCUCCACUUCGUCAGCCGUCGUAUUGAGUGUCGCCGAACCCGAAGCUGUCGGAGGCGCACUUGUCAGCGGGGGAACCGCCGCCAUCGGAACCGCCGCUAUGCCCUCACCCUCAGCCUCUACCGGCGUGGGUGUCGAAGGUGCGGGCGGAUCGCGAUCUCCUACCGCCGUCGCGGCCGUCGCCGCUGCCGCUUGCCGCUCCACAACUUCCUGGAGUUGCUCGAAUCGAGCCUCCUGGCGCUGCAUCGCGCCCAACAUUGCAGCGACCUGCUCCCGCAGCUCCUGCACUUCCUCCGAUCUCGGCUGCGCGGGCUCCGCAGAAGGCGGUACCGGAGCAGACCUACGCACGUAACGCCUUGGGGACAUUUGCUCCUGAAAAGCAACAACUCGGUUAGUUAUCUCAAUCCGAUAACUUCCUCAACAUUCACGAAAUUAAACGUCCCGACAACGAAAUCGGGCGGAAGCUCACAAGUGUUCCAGUUCUGGACUCUUAGCGCCGCGUCGUCGGCCGCCGACACAACCGCUACGAGCCGAGAAACUAGUAUCACUUGGAUCCGGCUCUAUUCACGGGUAGAGACAUAACACCAACUUCGACCCAAUCAAUCAACUUCCACCAUCGCCAUGGGUUCACAUUCACUCACGUCCCUAUAACCUUAGGGUUUACCAGCCUAGGGUCUCCUAGGUCAUUCUAGACUCUCUCUUUACUUACUCUGGUGCUCUGAUACCACUUUAUCUGUCACGCCCCGAAACCGAUACUAAUUUGGUCCAGUUCGGGCGCAUCGAACAGAUGUCGAACGGACAGCACCUCCCCUGUCUGCCCAAGGCCAACAGCGAGAUCAUGUACAACAAGUUCCCAGGAAAUUACUUGAAUACAUACAUGAUCACUGAACAACUACGAGGGGAGCACAAUCAGUGCUAAACGACUAAGAGCAAGAUACAAGUAUAAGAUAUACAAGUAAUGAUAACGAGAGGAACAUCUAUCUAUUACAUUCAUUCAGCCUUUAUAAUACAAUUUGAUUAUACAUUAAGCUUCUAAACAUAAUAUAAAGCUUACAUCUUCCAAAAUAUAAACAUUAGCUUACAUUCAUUCCAGAAUAUCUCACAUCCUAUACAUCAUCUACUCUCAAUGCAUAUAAAGGUGACUCUAAUGCAGAAAUAGGAAAGUAAGCUAAUGCAACUAGGGCGCUAGGCCCUUACCGCGAUGCUCGCCGUGUGAACUCGCGCUCGGCCCUGUAGCAAAAUGGGGGUGAGAACUAACUUCCUUAGUUCCCAGUGGGUUCGGCCGCCGACUCCGCCGAUCUCCUCACUAGGUCCAAGUGGGCACAAGCAAAUAACCAGGUAGAUAGAUAGGUAAUAAGCAAAGCGGUAAAGACAAGAUAGUAAAACUACACUACUAUGCCCGAAUCAUAAACAUAUGGAUGCAUGUACAAUGAAAUGGUAAACAACUAAUCCGUCAACAUGUCCAAAAAGUAAAGCUAUGCACUUAUUCAUCAAUCUCAUUUACUUGUUUCUUAAUCUCGUAGCUUCUCUGAAAGCUCGCCUACUGCUCACUAGCCAUCUCGAAGGUAUGGAGGGUCAACUCGCACUACGAACCGAGAUCGUCUGCUGGGACCCAAAAUAGGCAAUCCCUUGGGAUCCAAAAUAGGCAAUCCCACGUGACCAACUCCGGAGCGCACUACUUGUGUGGGGCUUCCAUCACAAGAUUUAAAAACAGACCGUGAGCAUGAUCCAAUCUCCUCGUCUCGAGAAUACCCUAUCCUCUAGGGUUACAAUCAUCAUAUAGUCCAUAGGCGUCGUAUACACCAAGUUUAACAUGUAUCACUUGUUUUCUUAUACACUAUCAACUAGAUUCCCACUCGUCCAUUGGUUUACUAUCGACUAGAUGCCACUCGUUCUUUGUUUAUCAUUAGACCAACCAUUGAGCCCAUCUCUUUCUCUGCACUAUAGGAUUCACAAGUCUCGACCCAAUCCUUAUCGAUCCACUAUGUCAAGUAUCCAAUACAUGCUACGAUAUCAUCAAGGAAAGCAUAAGGAAAGGCAAUGCACAAUCAUCCUAUAAUGCAAUAAUACAAGAUGCAGAAUCGAAAUGUACUAAGACAUUGAAGGGAGCCCGAUUGCUUCGGGAUGGACGCCACCCACCUCUUGGUGAUGCCACGAUGAUAGAAAACUCGACGUUGCGGUUCUUGCGCGUCGCCCUAACUCCUCGGGGCGAAGCGAGCCCUCAAGUACCCGAUUCGGCGAUUUCUCCGCACCCGCUCGUCGGAUCGAGAAACCGACUUCGCCGACGCGUUCCGGGACCUAGCAAUUAGGUUUGCGACCUAAUAGAUUAGAUCAAAACCCUAGAUUUCCAAAAUCCCAAUUCCGUGCCCUAGAAUGGCAACGGGGGAGAAAUCCGUGAUGCGAGCUUCGAUUGCGAGCCCGAACCACCUAUUCAUCUCCUCUAGGUUCCAUUUGAACCAAUUCUAAGCAAUAAAACCCAAUCCUAAGAAAUCUAUCAUGGGUGGGUUUGGAGCUUACCUCUAAGCCAAGCUCCAAGCUCGCUCUAGCUUGAAGGAGAGAGGGAAGAAGACCUUCUUCUUCUUCUUCUUGGACUUCUUCUUCACUUCUUCCUCUUUUCCUUCUUUUCUUUCUUCUCCUUCUUCUUCUCCUUCUUUUCUUUCUAGAGAGAGAGAGAGGGAAAGAGUGUGGGAGGGAGAAAGAGCAAAUGACAGGGAGAGAGAGGUCCCCCAACCUCUAUUAAAGGUCAUUUUGCAGAUAGCUCCGUCAACUUUUCAUCUUCUGAACAAGCCCUCUCUGGGCAUUUUCGCAGUGAGGGACCGGUCCCAGCUCGGGGAGACCGGUCCCUGAGAGCCUUCCAUCUCGGGUAGAAGGAUUUCGCGUUCGGGAACCGGUCCUUGCCUGAGAGACCGGUCCCCGGGAGACCGGUCCUUGUCCGAGAGACCGGUUCCCCAGAGUUGGGUUUUCGGGACUUAGCCAAAUUUCGGCUAUUUUCGCUGGGCUAACGUUCGGGAACCGGUCCCUGCCUGCCAGGGACCGGUCUCAUCAGAGACCCCCGCAGCCCAGCCUGAUGGAACCGGUCCCUCCCUGCCAAGGACUGGUCCCCGAGAGCAAUUCUGCUCCAGUGCAGAUUUUGCACUGGUACUCCCGCGGACCCUUCUUUAAUGCACUUUAUGCAUUAUAACCACCUUCGGACUUUCCGAAGCUUACACACUCGACGAAUAGUCGAUUCCAAACCAAAGUCUAAUCCUCGAGUUUCGAGAAUUCACUUCCUAACAUUCACGAUCACAAGGAGCACCACUGGUGUUAACAACUAAGAGCAAGGUUGUAAGGAAGUGAAUUCUCGAAAUACGAGGAUUGUACUUCAUCCAGGAUCGACUGAUUGUCGAAAGUAUACCCUUUGUGGGAGUUGAGAAUGUCCAAAGCACAAAAAGUGCCUUGGAGUUGAGUCCGCGAGAGCAAAUGAGGCAAACUGCAUCAUUGGGCUGAUGUUGCUCUCGGGGACCGGUCUCUGCAGGUGAGAGACCGGUUCCCCUGGCUGGGCGUAGCGGGGUUGCGUGAUGCAACCGGUCCCUGGCAGGGAGAGACCGGUUCCCGAACGUGGUCCCAGCGAGAGAUGCCAAAAAUUGGCUAAGUCCUGAAGAUCGAGCUCUCGAGGACCGGUCUCCCAGGCGAGGACCGGUCUCCCGAGGACCGGUCUCCCGGGGAGAGACCGGUUCCCGAACGCGUGCGCCCGAGGGAAGCUCUCGGGGACCGGUCCCAAGUCGGGGAGACCGGUCCCUCCGCGCGAAAACUGCCCAGUGAGGGCAGUGCACAGGAGUGAAAGUUGAGGGGCUUUUAUGCAAAAUGGCCUUUAUUUGAGUGGGCUGAGCCCUCUCUCUCCCUCACACUCUCUCAUUUCACUCUCUCUCACUCUCAUUUCUCUCUUGCUCUCUCUCUCUCUCUAGAAAGGAAAGAAGGAGAAGAAGAACAAGAAGGAGAGGAAGGAAAAGAAGAGGAAGAUAAGGAAGGAGAAGAAGAAGGAGAUCAAGAGGAAGGCUUUGAGCACCUCCAUCUCCCUCUCCUCUUCCCAUUGGAGUAGCUCUUGAGGUAAGCUACUAAACCCUAGCUUCUAGAACUUAGGGUUUUUGGGUUUUAUGCCUUGGAAUGGGUCAAAUGGACCCUAAGCAAGCUUCUAAAUAGAUCAAUCCCAAGAAUCUAGGGAUUUAUGGGGUGGUUUGCUAUAGGUGCAAAUCUAGGGUUCCAAAAUGGGGUUUUUGUAAAAGUAUGAGAUUGAUCUCAUUUGAAGCCUUGGAAACCCUAUUGAUAGGUCCCAAAACGCGGGGGCGAAGUCGAUUUUGGCAUUCGGCGAACCGACGUGAAGUUCUCGGCAAAAUCGGGCCGGGCUAGUGUUGAUUCGGGCGAGGAAGGCUAAAGCCUUUUUGCGAAGCUCGCCGAGAAGAAUUUCCAAAGCCUCUACAUCGAUAAAAAGGUGGGGGGUGUCAUCCGAAACUUUCGAACUCCUUUCUAUGUCUUAGAUUGCAUUUAAUCUCAUCUCUUCAUGUUGCAUUGUAGGAUUGCAUAGUAGCUCCAUUCCUUAUGCUUUCUAAUUGAUAACCUAGUGUACUUGGAACGCUUGGUAACUUAGAUAGGUGAGGAUUGGGUCGAGACGUGAAUCCUAUGGUGCGAAAGAAAAGAGAUGAACCCGAUGGGGGUAUUGAUGACAUAGAAAGUAGUGUUAUUGUUAAAGAACAAACGAGUGGCAUCCAAACAUUGAAUGAUAACGAGUGGCAUUAAUGUAGUGUAAAUAACACUAGAGGUCGAUGGACCUAGGGAUAGGUGGAUCCCUUAGAAAAUGCCUUGUGAACAAUGAAUUUAGAAAACUAAAUAGCAUUGCAUGAAUGUCGGGAACCGAUGAUUCCGCGAUAGUCGUUGACCCUAGUGUAGGGCGUCCUCACUUGGAGAGGAUUCGAUUGGGUUAUUGACUCUAGUUGUAGAGCCUCCUCACUUGGAGAGGAUUGGAUUGGGUGUUGACCCUAGUUACAGUGUAUCCUCACAUGGAGAGGAUAGAUCUAGCUCACAGUCUGCGUUUAGGGUGGCAUAGCCAUCCAAUCCCCACAUGGAGGGGAUUGUCGUCGAGUACUCCGGAGUGUCGCGCGACUAGGACCACUUGGAGGUCCGGACCACAUGGAGGUCCGCAGACGGUCCCGGGCUUGGGUGCACUUGGAGCUCCCUCCCCACUUUGGGAUUUGAAGGUGAGUCAUGGGCGAGCCCUAGGGCCUCGCCACAGAUUGGGUAAAUGAAAAAGGUUAAAGGUUUAUAAAUGUCAUUGAACAUUACUAUUCGAACAUGGAUCGAAUUUGUUAGCAUGGUAGCAAACCUUUAUUAUAUGAUGCAUGCAUUCAUAUUCAUGAUUAUGGGCAUAGUAGCAUAGUUUUCCUACUACUGCAUUUACAGCUUUCAGAUACAUAUCUAUCUAUCUAUCUAUCUGUUGUUACUUGUGCCCACUUGGACCUAGUGGGGAGAUCGGCAGAGUCGGCGGCCGAGCCCACUGGGAACUAUGGAAGAUAGUUCUCACCCCACUCUAUUUCCAGUGGUAGGUUCAGGGCUGCAGAGAGAGGACCGCGGCAAGGGCGUCGCGCCCGACCAGUGAGACCGUGGUAGUAUAGUAGCUUUCCUUUUUGCAUUAGUCACCUAUGUAUUGAGAGAGAUUCUUGUAGGUGAGGUUGGAGAGCUAUGUAUUUUGGAUGAAAAAUGAUGUAAUGAAUGUAACUAAUGUAAUAGUUAGUAAAGUACUCUCUUUAUUUCACUCGUAUAUCUUGUGGAUUACUUGCUCUUCUUGUUGUUGGCACUGUUUGUGCCCUCGUUGAAUGUGUAUGUUUAGAAUUUAAAGUCCUGGGUAAAUUCUUGUACACAUUCCUGUUGUUGAGCCUUGGGCGGACAGGGGAGGUGCUGUCCGUUCGGCGGUCUGUCGCCGCGGCCGAAUCGUGCCAAAUUGGUAGUGAUUUCGGGGCGGGGCGUGACAAAGGUACAAGUAUGAAACAUACAAGUAGAUAAAGAGAGAAAGCUCUAUCUAUUACAUUCAUUCAACUUAAUACAUUUAAUUACAUCUUUUACGUUCUUCCAAAAUAUAAAUACAAGCACUCAACCUCACCCUAUACAACAUCUACUCUCAAGCAUAAAUACAAGGUAGAGCUAAUGCAAAACGGGUGGAUAGCUAAUGCAACUAGGGCGCCGGGCCCUUACCGCGAUCCUCACGCUCGCUGGGGACACCCAAGCUCGAACCUGAAAAGAGUGGGGUGAGAACUAACUUCCUUAGUUCCCAGUGGGUUCGGCCGCCGACUCCGCCGGUCUCCCCACUAGGUCCAAGCGGGCACAAGUAGAUGAACAGAUAGAUAGAUAUUGAAAAGCUAUAAUAACAGAAGAGUAAGCUACACUACCGUGCCCGAAUCAUGUAUAUAAUGUAUGCAUGCACAAUGAAAUAGGUAAUCAACUAGCUCUUCGUAUGUCCAAGAAGUAAAGCUAUUUACUGUUCACUGAUCUCGUGGCUCAUUCAAGGAUCCGCCUAUUACUCACAUAGCCGUCUCGAUACUACGAAUCCGAGACCGUCUGCGGGAUCCCACAUAGGCUAUCCCUCGGGACCCCAAAUAGGCUAUCCCUAUCCCACGGGACCCCACAUAGGCUGUCCCUCGUGACCGACUCCGGAGCGCACUACUUGUGUGGAGCGACCAUCACAAGUCGGGAGCAGACAAUGAGUAUGAUCCAAUUCUCCCACCUCAAGGGUGCCCUAUCCUCUAGGGUUACUAUUGCCAUAGUCAAUGGGUUCACAACAACUAGAUGCCAUUCGUUCUUUUGUUUACUAACAACUAGAUGCCACUCGUUCUUUUGUUUCAAUCCUUGUAUCAUUCUUUCAUCGCCGCACUAUAGGAUUACAAGUCUCGACCCAAUCCACAUCAUUCCCUUAUACCCAGCAGUUCAUACAUAAUAUUGCAUCAAAUAGGAAAGCAUAAGGAAAGGCAAUGCACACUAUCCUAUAAUGCAUGAGAACACAGGAUGCAAGAUCACAAGGUACUAAGACAUAAAAGGGAGCCCGAUUGCUUCGGGAUGGACACCACCCACCUCUUGGCGAUGCCGCGACGGUAGAAAACUCGACGCUGCGGUCCCUGCAUGUCGCUUCAACUCCUCGGGGCGAAGCGAGCCCUCGUGUACUCAAUUCGGCGAUUUCUCCGCACUCGCUUGUCGGAUCGACAAACCGUCUACGCCGACGCGUUCCGUGACCUAGCAAUUAGGUUUGCGACCUAUUAAAAUAGAUCAAAACCCUAGAUUUACCAAAAUCCCAAAUCCGUGCCCUAGAAUGGCAACGAGGGGGAAAUCUAUUGUGCGAGCUUCGAUUGCGAGCUCGAACCAUCUAUUCAUCUCCUCUAGGUUCCAUUUGAACCAAUUCUAAGCAACAAAAACCUCAAACCCUAAAAACACCAUUAGAGGAUUUAGAGCUUACCUCUAAGCCAAGCUCCAAGCUUGCUCUAGCUUGAAGGAAAGAGGGAAGAAGGCCUUCUUCUUCUUCUUCUUGGACUUAUCCUUCCACUUCUUCUCCUUUACCUUCCUCUCCUUUCUCUCCUUCUUCUUCUCCUUCUUUUCUUUCCUAGAGAGAGAGUGAAAGAGUGUGAAAGGGAGAGAGAGCAAAUGAGAGGAAGAGAGGAGUCCCCCAGCCUCUAUUAAGGCCAUUUUGCAGAUAGCCCCCUCAACUUUUCAUUCUCUGAAACAGCCCUCACUGGGCCAUUUUCGCAGUGAGGGACCGAUCCCAGCUCGGGGAGACCGGUCCCCGAGAUUUACACUCUCGGGGCAUAAUAGAAAGCUUUUACUCCUUGUUCGAUAGAUUAAGAAAAAGUGCUCAUUGCAAAGUUAUACUGUUAUGGCGCAACAGAGUAGUCUAAUGUUGUUCAAGUUUUGGUUCUUGCGAACAUUGACAUCGAUUAGUUCCAAAUUUACACUCUCGGUGCAUAAUAGAACAAUAUUAUUAGGUUUUACACUUUAUUCGAUUGAACGAGAAAAAGUACUCGUCGCAAAGUUAUACUGUUAUGGCGCAACUGAGUAGUCUAAUGUAGUUCCGGUUUUGGUUCUUGUGAACGUUGACAUCGAUUCGUACCAAAUUUACACUCUCGGGGCAUAAUAGAAAGCUUUUACUCCUUAUUCGAUAGAAUAAGAAAAAGUACUCGUUGCAAAGUUAUACUAUUAUAGCGCAAUUGAGUAGUUUAAUGUUGUUCCGAUUUUGGUUCUUGUGAACGUUGACAUCGAUUCGUUCCAAAUUAAAACUCUCAGGGUAUAAUAGAACAAUAUAAUUAGGUUUUGCUCUUUGUUCGAUUGAAUGAGAAAAAAUACUAGUUGCAAAGUAAUAUUGUUAGGGCUCAACUGGGUAGUCUAAUGUUGUUCCGGUUUUGGUUCUUGUGAACGUUGACAUCGAUUCGUUCCAAAUUUACACUCUCGGGGCAUAAUAGAACAAUAUAAUUAGGUUUUACUCUUUUUUCAAUUAAAUGAGAAAAAGUUCUAGUUGCAAAGUUAUACUGUUAGGGCUCAAUUGAGUAGUCUAACGUUGUUCCGGUUUUGGUUCUUGUGAACGUUGACCUCGAUUCGUUCCAAAUUUACACUCUCGGGGCAUAAUAGAACAAUAUAAUUAGGUUUUACUCUUUAUUCGAUUGAAUGAGAAAAAGUACUCGUUGCAAAGUUAUACUGUUAUGGCGCAACAGAGUAGUCUAAUGUUGUUCCGGUUUUUGUUCUUGUGAGUGUUGACAUAGAUUCGUUCCAAAUUUAUACUCUCGGGGCAUAAUAAAACAAUAUAAUAAGGUUUUACUCUUUGUUCGAUUGAAUGAGAAAAACGACUUGUUGCAACGUUAUACUAUUAGGGCUCAACUGAGUAGUCUAACGUUGUUCUGGUUUGGUUCUUGUGAACACGGACAUCGAUUCGUUCCAAAUUUACACCCUCGGGGCAUAAUAGAAAGCUUUUACUCCUUGUUCGAUAGAUUGAGAAAAAGUACUCAUUGCAAAGUUACACUGUUAUGGCGGAACAGAGUAGUCUAAGGUUGUUCCAGUUUUGGUUCUUGUGAACGUUGACAUCGA